This 252-nucleotide long non-coding RNA is filed under the name Amborella trichopoda. RNAcentral describes it as "long non-coding RNA (ATRI_LNC000795)". The record is from RNAcentral. Lineage: Eukaryota; Viridiplantae; Streptophyta; Magnoliopsida; Amborellales; Amborellaceae.
CUGAAAACAUGCACGCAAUGGUUGAACAACAAGACCUCCACACUUGGCAUAACAUACUGAUCUUUUCAUCCGGCACAGAAUUGUCCCAAAUAUGAGCCAAUACUACUAGCGUAAAUCCCAACUCUACCACCUGCAAAAAAUUACAUGGAUUUAACAAUAGAGGUAACUGAGAAACCAUCUUGUUUUUUUUGAGAAAAAGUUAACUGCCAGAGAAACCAUCUUGUUUAACAACACUAACAACAAAUAUCUAUA